UUAUGGAGAGUUUGAUCCUGGCUCAGGAGGAACGCUGGCUGCGUGCCUAAUACAUGCAAGUCGAGCGAACAGACGAGGAGCGUGCUCCUCUGACGUUAGCGGCGGACGGGUGAGUAACACGUGGGUAACCUACCUAUAAGACUGGGAUAACUCCGGGAAACCGGGGCUAAUACCGGAUAACACAUGAAACCGCAUGGUUUCAUGAUGAA
This 209-nucleotide ribosomal RNA is filed under the name Staphylococcus simulans. RNAcentral's name for it is "partial 16S ribosomal RNA". It matches the Rfam family "Bacterial small subunit ribosomal RNA", at positions 1 to 205 of the family's 1533-position model. The record is from RNAcentral. Lineage: Bacteria; Bacillati; Bacillota; Bacilli; Caryophanales; Staphylococcaceae.